This is an RNA transcript of Ostrea edulis (European flat oyster), 3148 nucleotides long. RefSeq lists it as uncharacterized. NCBI's taxonomy places the organism in Eukaryota, Metazoa, Mollusca, Bivalvia, Ostreida, Ostreidae. The transcript has 3 exons. The record is from RefSeq and is a predicted model, not a curated record.
ACCAUAAAUUUGGUACCUGAUAGAAUUCAAUUUCCACUGCGAUCGUGAAACAGACAAGAGGUAUCAAAGUUGAUAUCACGUGUAAAAAUGCUUUCCCUACAGAUCAACAUUAAAUAAAACAAUAAAAUUUCAAUUAUAAAUUUGGAAAUACAUAUACCAGAUCUAAAGGAAUAAAAUAACAAUGAUUUUUAGAAUCCCUACAUAUACGUGAAUACAACACUUGUUCCGAAAUGUUGCGGUGCCGAAACGUCCGGUACCGAAACGCCGUGAUACCGAAAUAUAGUCAUGUUUACACAAGAUGGCGCUGAGAUAGAACGAUGUGACUGUUCCAACAACGAAUUCUGUUUUGUCACCCAGCGGCAGUCUCACAGGACGUCAUAACACGAGCAUCACUAAGCCUAACCCCAAGAUACACGUGCGUGCGGCUGAUAUGGAUGAAACCACGUGCGAAUCUCCAAGAAAGAAGUUUCUAUCGAGCGAAUCCGAAAGAAGACAUGACAAUGACUAUGUAACUUCAACUGUGAGUCCUGCAGACCCGGCGAUCCGUGAACUGCCACAGAAAACGAGUGAGUGGAUAGGGGUACAUUUAUCGCAGAUUCAUGUGACUGUUGAUGGCUCUGUGACGUCACCUUUAUGUGUAUUUACUUGUGAAUACACGGAUUUUUUGAGAAAUAAUGACACCCACACUCUACCUGAAGUUAUUGCAGAUAUUUACGGAUAUCGGGACCCUGAACUAGCUGCGAAGUACCACUGCUGUAUAAAAGCAUGUACGGAUGUGUUUACAAUGGAUGCUGAUUCCAUAUUUAAUGUACCUAAACAACAACUUCAGGAAUUGAUUGUUGAACUUAGAAAACCAUUCCGUGAAACAGCUUUCGGAAAGUGGAUGAAAAAAUGGAAAAAGUUGUAUAUAGUUGGAAAGAAUGAAACAAUUAAAGAUUUUAUUGCAGAUGCUUGUGGAAGUAUCCAUGGCCGAUUACAAGAUUUUUGUGAGCAGUUAUUGUACAUGGUUAGAAGUGACAACACAGACGUGACAGAAGGAAUGUAACAAGAACUCUUCAUGUUGUUUAUCAGGAUCUUUGAUUUAAAAAUAAGGUAAGUCAUCAUCUAAAAUUAAACUCAUGUUGCUUCUAGUAUACAUGAUUACAUAGAUAUUAUCCAGGGCUCGAAGUUAACAUAUAUGCCCAUCAGUCUGUGUCUGGUUAAAAGAACUAAUUGAUACCCCAACCAUAUAGCAGGCAUUGUGAUACUUGAGCUAUAACUGAAUUAUUCUACGAAUGAAUUUAGCUUUAGAGAUGCAAAAAAAGUACAAUAUUAACAGUUUUAAAUUAGCCAAAUCCAAUAUAGUUUCCACAAAUCCUGUUGUGAACAAUGCAAAUUUGAUCGUUUUAGCUCACCUGAGCCAAAGACUCAAGUGAGCUUUUCUGAUCAAAAUUUGUCCAUUGUCUGUCGUCGGCGUCGUAAACUUUUCACAUUUUCGACUUCUUCUCAAGAAUUACUGGGCCAAUUUCAACCAAAUUUACCACAAAGCAUCCUUGGGUAAAGGUGAAGGGCUUUCAAGUUUGUUCAAAUGAAGCGGCAUGUCCCUUUGAAAGUUUCAAAGAGGAGAUAAUCACAACAAUGCAAAAAUAGGGUGGGUACGUCAUUUAAAAAUCUUCUCAAGAACCACUGGACCAGAAAAAUCUUCUUCUCAAGAACCACUGAACCAGAAAAGCUGAUAUUUACAUGAAAACUUCCUGACAUAAUGCAUAUUCAAGUUUGUUCAAAUCAUGGCCCCCGGGGGUUGGAUGGGGCCACCAUAGGGAAUCAAGGUUUUACAUGUAAAAUAUAGGAAAAAUCUUUAAAAAUCUUCUUCUCAAGAACCACUGAGCCAGAAAAGCUGAUAUUUACAUGACAGCUUCCUGACAUAAUGCAGAUUCAAAUAUGUUCAAAUCAUGACCACUGGGGGUUGGAUGGGGCCACAAUAGGGGAUCAGAUUAUUACAUGUAAAAUAUAGGAAAAAUCUUUAAAAAUCUUUUUCUCAAGAACCACUGAGCCGGAAAAGCUGAGAUUUACAUGAAAGCUUCCUGACAUAAUGCAGAUUCAAGUUUGUUCAAAUCAUGGCCCCGGGGGUAUGAAGGGGCCACAAUAGGGGAUCAAAAUUUUACAUACAAAUAUAUAGGACAAAUCUUUAAAAAUCUUCCUCUCAAGAACCACUGAGGCAGAAAAGCUGAGAUUUACAUGAAAGAUUUGUGACAUAAUGCAGAUUCAAGUUUGUUCAAAGCAUGGCCCCUGGGGGUUGGAUGGAGCCAACAGAGGAGGUCAAAGUUUUACAUACAAAUAUAUAAGGAAAAUCUUUUAAAAUCUUCUUAUGAAGAAGCACUGAGUCAGAAAAGCUGAUAUUUACCUGAAAGCUUUCUGACAUAUUUCAGGUUUGAGUUUGUUAAAAUCAUGGCUCUCAGGGUUUGGAUGGGGUCACAAGUGGGGAUCAAAGUUUUGGAUACAAAUAUAUAGAGAACAUUUUUAAAUAUGAGCCAGGGUGACUCAGGUGAGCGUUAUGGCACUUGGGUCUCUUGUUUAAUGUAAUAUAUUAAUUAAGGAGUGAACCAAACCAAAACUUGCAAAAGAAAUAAAACUAAGCAGUUGUAUUGAAAUGAAUAAUGCCAUGAAUUGUUUCAUCAUCCUGAGAUACACUCUGGUAAUUCAAUUUGCUGAUGUAGAUGGGGUCAUUAGGGGCUCUAAUGAUCCAAUUGGUUAAUUGUAUAUAUUGUUUGAUGGCCGAAUCUUGAGAAUUUUUCACUCAUGGAAACGUCAUCAUUGCCAGUGAAGGGCUGUAAAGUUUAGACCUGAUGCUCGGCACUUACAGCCUUGGAUCAGGGAGGGAUCUUUAUCAUGUCACAUCUGCUGUGACAUGCGGUUUUGGUUUUUUGUAGUCUCAUCUGAAGGACUUCCCCAUUUACUCGCCUCUUACGACAAGCGAGGGGUACUGAGGACCUAUUUCGACCCGGAUCCCCACGGGAUUCCUAAAUAGAGUAAGCUGAGCAGAAAUUCCUCAAUUGAGGGACGUGAACACUUUUGGAGCUCAGAUCCAGUGAUAACUAUUGGGAACCAGAAUAUCAUUUCUGUCCCUGAUGCGCUUAUUUACCAAGCCGCAAAGAAAUUGUCAUCAAAA